UACGGGAGGCAGCAGUGAGGAAUAUUGGACAAUGGAGGCAACUCUGAUCCAGCCAUGCCGCGUGCAGGAAGAAGGUCCUAUGGAUUGUAAACUGCUUUUAUAUAGGAAGAAACCUUUCCACGUGUGGAAAGCUGACGGUACUAUAAGAAUAAGCACCGGCUAACUCCGUGCCAGCAGCCGCGGUAAU
RNAcentral lists this ribosomal RNA (187 nucleotides) under uncultured bacterium. RNAcentral describes it as "partial 16S ribosomal RNA". It matches the Rfam family "Bacterial small subunit ribosomal RNA", at positions 340 to 524 of the family's 1533-position model. The record is from RNAcentral.